AUGGCUGCACAUCCCUUCUGCAUUGGCACUGUCGUUUCACAGCUGUCACACAUUCCCAUGAACAACAGAUCAUCACUGGCCCUGUACAAGGCAUACUGGGGGACCUGCAGGUAUGGAUUAAAGGUAAAAAGGACAUUUUCAAUUUGCAGAUUAUUUGCUGGCAUUGUGAGUAGAUUUACUAUCUUUGUAAAGAUGGGAAUUUGCUCUUCUUUAUCUGUGUGGUCACCUCUUUCACUUGGUCUUGAAUGCAGCUGCACAACAUGUGUAUAUGGAUCCCAACCAGCACGGCAGAACAUGGGUUCUUCAAGAGAAUUAGGGAUCAUCUCAUCAUUCUGUGCCCAGCAUGAGGAAUUGUGUGUUACUGGGAGGGCUCACUCUGACCGAGAGGUACUGGGAGUUCCUCUACUCUGGGCCUGGAAGGGAGCAAGUUCUCAAGCAAACCUCCAUCCUUUACUGUUAACCACAGAAAAACAUGGUUCUGAACUUCACCCUCUUCCUUCAUCAUGUUUUCUAGAGCAAGUUUUUCCCAAGUCAGACAUUUCCCUGCUGCUUUCUGCUGUCAUUACAGAGUCCAGCUUCUCAUUUACUGUUUUAUUCAAAGGGAGAAGUAUAUUUAUUCCAUAUUCAUACAGAUGUUCAUGUGGCUAUAGCCAGUCUCUGCCUUUUGCUGACAAGCUUGCUGCUUUGUUCUCAGGACACCAAGCAGCUGGCAUCAGAAUACCAAGUGUUUUUGUCUUCUACCCAUCUUCCCUCUUCAUUCUCCAAAUUUUCUGUCCUGGUGGGAAACUUGUCACACAUUGCUGGGCCGAUGCAGAGCUCUGCUUCUGUUCUGUAGUAAGGGAAGUAUCCACUGGAAGAAAAGGGCCGGUUCAGGCCUGGCGGUGUGGUGGGGAGGGAGAAGGAUGGAAGGCAGCCUUCCAAGGUGCUGCCUCCUGGGAGCUGCUGGGAUGUUGGCUCUACAUUGGCCAUGGAAGAACACAGCUUCCUCUCUGUCCCCAGAGCUGGGUGGGCGGUCUGUAA
This 1020-nucleotide long non-coding RNA is filed under the name Coturnix japonica (Japanese quail). RNAcentral describes it as "lncRNA (ENSCJPG00005005176.1)". Lineage: Eukaryota; Metazoa; Chordata; Aves; Galliformes; Phasianidae. The record is from RNAcentral.